Conger conger (European conger) is the source of this 362-nucleotide long non-coding RNA. RefSeq lists it as uncharacterized. The transcript is spliced from 4 exons. NCBI's taxonomy places the organism in Eukaryota, Metazoa, Chordata, Actinopteri, Anguilliformes, Congridae. The record is from RefSeq and is a predicted model, not a curated record.
CACAGAUGUAAAAAGCUCGAUAUCUAAAGCAGGGGUAGAAUUUUUUCCCCUGUUUUGAGGCAUUUCGUACUCCUGCAAUAGUGGUGCAAAGAACCGCCAUGUGUGAGAACCAUGGCCAACAUUACCUGGCGACGUUAUAGCUUAGACACGUCCGUCUUGCCCACAGGAAUUAAUUCAUCCACACCUGUAGGCCCCAACAUCUACCACACCAUUCAGCCCUUUCUCCAAGAGCUAGAAUGCCAACAUCCCUCCUCCUUACAAGAAAAAGGUAUGCUGACUUGGACACUUCACAAGAAUGUGGAACAAGAUCCAGCUAAGGCCAAUGUAGUGGUGGACGAACUAGUGAAGGACCUGGAGAGGGU